CAGUCGCCGCGGUAAUACGUAGGUGGCAAGCGUUGUCCGGAAUUAUUGGGCGUAAAGGGCUCGCAGGCGGUUUCUUAAGUCUGAUGUGAAAGCCCCCGGCUCAACCGGGUAGGGUCAUUGGAAACUGGGAAACUUGAGUGCAGAAGAGGAGAGUGGAAUUCCACGUGUAGCGGUGAAAUGCGUAGAGAUGUGGAGGAACACCAGUGGCGAAGGCGACUCUCUGGUCUGUAACUGACGCUGAGGAGCGAAAGCGUGGGGAGCGAACAGGAUUAGAUACCCCAGUAGUCCCUGUCUCUUAUAA
RNAcentral lists this ribosomal RNA (301 nucleotides) under uncultured bacterium. RNAcentral's name for it is "partial 16S ribosomal RNA". It matches the Rfam family "Bacterial small subunit ribosomal RNA", at positions 509 to 809 of the family's 1533-position model. The record is from RNAcentral.